UGGGGAAUCUUGCACAAUGGGGGCAACCCUGAUGCAGCGACGCCGCGUGAGCGAUGAAGCCCUUCGGGGUGUAAAGCUCUUUCGGCAGGAACGAUAAUGACGGUACCUGAAGAAGAAGCUGCGGCUAACUACGUGCCAGCAGCCGCGGUAAUACGUAGGCAGCAAGCGUUGUUCGGAGUUACUGGGCGUAAAGAGUGUGUAGGCGGUUUUCUAAGUUUGGGUGUGAAAUCUCCCGGCUCAACUGGGAGGGUGCGCCGAAAACUGGAAGGCUGGAGUAUGGGAGAGGAAAGCGGAAUUCCUGGUGUAGCGGUGAAAUGCGUAGAUAUCAGGAGGAACACCUGUGGUGUAGACGGCUUUCUGGACCAUUACUGACGCUGAGACACGAAAGCGUGGGUAGCAAACAGGAUUAGAUACCCUGGUAGUCCACGCCCUAAACGAUGCAUACUUGGUGUGAGCCGUUCAUUCGGUUCGUGCCGGAGCUAACGCGUUAAGUAUGCCGCCUGGGGAGUACGGUCGC
Molecule: ribosomal RNA, 517 nt
Filed under: uncultured bacterium
Lineage: Bacteria
Description: bacterial SSU rRNA
Rfam family: Bacterial small subunit ribosomal RNA
Source: RNAcentral